This 253-nucleotide ribosomal RNA is filed under the name uncultured bacterium. RNAcentral describes it as "partial 16S ribosomal RNA". It matches the Rfam family "Bacterial small subunit ribosomal RNA", at positions 524 to 776 of the family's 1533-position model. The record is from RNAcentral.
UACGGAGGGGGCUAGCGUUGUUCGGAAUUACUGGGCGUAAAGCGCACGUAGGCGGCUUUGCAAGUUAGAGGUGAAAGCCCGGGGCUCAACUCCGGAAUUGCCUUUAAAACUGCAUCGCUAGAAUUGUGGAGAGGUAAGUGGAAUUCCGAGUGUAGAGGCGAAAUUCGUAGAUAUUCGGAAGAACACCAGUGGCGAAGGCGACUUACUGGACACAUAUUGACGCUGAGGUGCGAAAGCGUGGGGAGCAAACAGG